RNAcentral lists this ribosomal RNA (3133 nucleotides) under Capsicum annuum. RNAcentral's name for it is "eukaryotic LSU rRNA". The stretch from base 385 to 1978 matches the Rfam family "Eukaryotic large subunit ribosomal RNA". Lineage: Eukaryota; Viridiplantae; Streptophyta; Magnoliopsida; Solanales; Solanaceae. The record is from RNAcentral.
GCGCCCCAUCUAUGAUGUCUUGGCUCUCGCAUCGAAGAAGAUCAUAUCAAAAUACGAUACUUGGUGUGAAUUUUAGAAUCCCAUGAACCAUAGAUUAUUUGAACGUAAGUUACACCCGAAGCCAUUAGGCCGAGGGCACGUCUACCUGGGCAUCACGCAUCGCAUCGCCCCCUUGCAUCGCGCAUCAAUCAUGGGGCAUGCUGUUGUCGUGGGGCGGAUACUGUCCUCCCAUGAACCUCGAGCUCGCGGAUGGCUUAAAUGCGAGUCAACGUUGAUGGAUGUCACGGAAAGUGGUGGUUGUAUCUCAACUCUCUUUGUUGUCGCGGCUAAAGCCCGAAGCGCGUCUGGACUCCAGGACUCUUUCACGCUUAGGCAUUCCGACCGCGACCUCAGUUCAGGCAGGAUUAACUGCUGAGUUUAAGAAUAUUAAUAAGAGAAGGAAAGGGAACUUACAAAGAUUUCCUUAGUAACGACGAGCGAACCGGGAACAAUUCAGCCUUAGAAUCGGGCGGCUCCAUCAUCCGAAUUAUAGUUUGGAGAAGCGUCCUCAGCAGCGGACCGAGACCAAGUCCCCUGAAAGGGGGCGCCAGAGAGGGUGAGAGCCCCAUUAUUCCUGAACCCUGUCGCACCACGAGGCACUAUCUACGAGUUGGGUUGUUUGGAAAUGCACCCUAAAUUGGGCGGUGAAUUCUAUCUAAGGCUAAAUAUAAGCGACAGACCGAUAAUGAACAAGUACCGCGAGGGAAAGAUGAAAAGGACUUUGAAAAGAGAGUCAAAAAAUUCUUAAAAUUAUCGGGAGGGAAGAGGUUGGGGGCCGACGAUGCAGCCUAAUCAAAUGUAGAAUGGCGACGAGCUGGUCCGCCGAUCGACUCGGGGUGUGGACCAGCAUGGAUUUGGGGUCAGCUAAAGCCCGGGCUUUCAAUAUGCUUGUGGAAUGCUGUCUCCUCAAUUGUGGCAGGCAGCGCGCGCCUUCUGUGUUCUUUGGCAUCUGCGCGCUACUGACGCUGGCCUGUGGGCUCCCCAUUUGACCCGUCUUAAAAAAUGGACCAAGGAGUCUGACAUGUAUGCGAGUCAAUGGACGAGUAAACCCGUAAGGUGUAAGAAAGCUGAUUGGUGGUAUCCCCCCGAGGGGUUCACCAACGAUCGACCUUGAUCUUCUGAGAAGGGUUUGAUCGUGAGCAUACCUGUUGGGACUCGAAAGAUGGUGAACUAUGCCUUAGUGGGGCGAAACCAGAGGAAACUCUGGUUGAGGCCCGCAGCGAUACUGACGUGCAAAUUCUUCAUCUAACUUAGGUGUAAGGCCUGCGGCUGCUGUGUCGAGCUGUGCUAAGGAAUCAAGAGCUCUAAGUAGGCCAUAAUUGGUAAGCAGAACUGGCGAUGCGGGAUGAACCGAAAUCAGGGUUACGGUGCCAAGCUGUGCGCUAACCUAGAUCCCACAAAGGGUGUUGGUCGAUUAAGAUAGCAGGACGGUGGUCAUGGAAGCCAAAAUCCACUAAGGAGUGUGUAACAACUCACCUGUCAAAUAAACUAGCCUCGAAAAUAGAUGGCGAUUAAGCGCGCGACCUACACCCGGCUGUCGGGGAACGUUCCAGGCCUCGAUGAGUAGGAGGGCUCGACGGUCACUGUAAAACCUUGGGCGCGAGCCCGAGCAGAGCGUCUGUCGGUGCAGAUAUUGGUGGUAGUAGCAAAUAUUAAUAUGAGAACUUUGAAGGCCAAAGAGGGGAAAGGUUCCAUGUGAACAGCACUUGCAUAUGGAUUAGUCGAUCCUAAGGGUCGGGGAACCCCGAUAGAUAGCGCAUUUCACGCAUACUCCGAAAGGGAAUCAGGUUAAAAUUCCUGGACCAGGAUGUGGUGAUCGACGCCCAGUACGCGGCAUUUAUUGCUGGGCAUUGGGGCCGGUGCUGGGUGUACAUCAAUGGAGCAUUUGGACGCACGAUGCGUGAGUUGUGUUAGGUAUGUGAGGUUAGGUUAGAUCUAUGCUAGAGCAGCAAUGUCCUGACCCACCUGCCAUCUCAGUCGUGGGGUAAGCGCAAUUUAGGUUUGCUUGAAGUCGAUUUCCUAUGCUGCAUACCUAAUGCCCAGGCAUUAUCAAGUUUUAUCGAUCGUAUUUCACACCUCGCAUUUCGUGCAUGGGGUGAAUCAAAAGGCCGCCCUCAUGUCACAGGCCUUCCUCACUUCGUCGUGCGGUCAUGGUCCAUGAGCGGCGGUCAAGAUUCUCAAAUAUGAUAGACGCAGUGGGCAUGGGGUCUUUAUCGAUUCUUAUCUGUCCUGUACGAUGCUCUUUGCAAACAAUGGUCGUGCUCUCGUUCAAUCCGCCUGCGCCCUCACGGGCAGGCCGGGCUCAUGCGACGCCGAUGUCGAUGAGGAAUGCUACCUAGUUGAUCCUGCCAAUAUUCAUAUGCUUAUCUCAAAGAUUAAGCCAUGCAUGUGUAAGUAUGAAUAAAGUCAGACUGUGAAACUGCGAAUGGCUCGUUAAAUCAGUUAUAGUUUAUUUGAUGGUAUAUACUACUCGAAUAACCGUAGUAAUUCUAGAGCUAAUACGUGAAACAAACCCCGAAUUAUGAAAGGGAUGCAUUUAUUAGAUAAAAUCUCGAGAGGGAAUCUGCCUGUUGCUGCGAUGAUUCAUGAUAACUCAACGGAUCGCAUGGCCAUCAUGCCGGCUACGUAUCAUUCAAAUUUCCAUCCUAUCAAGUUUCGAUAGUAGGAUAGUGGCGUACUAGGUGGUGACGGGUGAUGGGUGACGGAGAAUUAGGCUUCGAUUUCGGAGAGAAAGCCUGAGAAAUGGCUACAACAUCCAAGGAAGGCAGCAGGGGUGCAAAUUACCCAAUCCUGACAUAGGGAGGUAGUGACAAUAAAUAACAAUACCGAGCUCAAUGAGUCUGGUAAUUGGAAUGAGUACCAUCUAAAUCUCUUAAUGAGGAUCCAUUGGAGGGAGAGUCUGGUGCCAGCGGCUGCUGUAAUUCCAGCACCAAUAGUGUAUAUUUAAGUUGUUUCAGUUAAAAAGCUCAAAGUUGGACUUUGGGAUUGGCUGGCCGGUCCGACUAUGGUGUGUAUCUGUCAUCUCAUCCCUUCUGUCGGCGAUGCGCUCCUGGCCUUAACUGGUUGGGUCGUGCCUUCGAUGCUGUUACUUUGA